GAUCCGGAGCGGCGCUAAACACGCGCCGCGGGCAGCGGCAUCAGGAGGGAGGCUCGGCAGGGAGAGCCCGGCUCUGGCGCCCCGUGCUCGGGGUGGGGGAGGCCGCGCGGAGUUGCCCGGCUCGGCUUUCCCUGAAGCGCGGCGGUCGCUGCCCUAAUGUGGCGUCCCCUUGCCGGGCCAGAACCAGUAGUGCGCAUGCGCAGAAGAUUUUAAACCUUCACUGGAUACGGCCGCCCUGGCAACCGCCCAUGCGCACUGGGAGUGGUGCCGGCUCGCUGAGGGAGGUGGCUCGGAACGUUCCUUCGGCAUCUCCCGGCGCGUGGAAUUUUGGAACCGUUCGGAAAAUCCGAGCAGGGUGAUGAUCUUUUGGUCCAUGUUGCUGUGCAAACACAAUGGUACCGUAGCUGCCUCCAGGAUGGACGGCAACUAGGCAGCGGGUGCUCAAAGUUUAUAUAGGCACAACAAGUGCACCAAGGUUCUGAGGUAAAAUUGGUAGCUCCCUGGUUGGAACCUGUUUGAACUAGUUCUGUGCUGACCGUUAACUGCUUUUCCUGACAAAGUUCCAAAAGGGCACGAAAAUUUCAAGAAGAAACCAAACAAAGAUGGAGUCGAACUGUUGUUUGUUGGGCACGCCAUUUUGAAUUUCAGACUCCAUAUCUAAUACAUAGUCAAAUACCUUAAUCAAAUGUAAAGGCAUAAAGAAUAACUUAUUUUAAAGCACAAAACAACUCAAUCUCUAUUUAAUAUGCAAAAACAUGUUACAUUUCCUCUCCUUGAUAGUCCUGAGUAAAUUCUGAAGGUACUAUCAUUACACAGACACAUAGAGGUGGAAAGUGCUAUAACAAUAAAACAAUUUAAAUAACCUUAAGAUCAUACAAAACUGUCAUUUAACAAAGUGCAAUAUAACUGUGCAAUAUAAUGAUUAUUACAAUGCAUGUAAAGUGCAAACCUUAACAAUUGAACUUUGUUAAAUCAAAAGGCAUAAUAACAACUUUCUUUUUAUGAGAGCAACAAGAAUAUAUGGUCAAACCCACGAGGUAAAAGAUUAUUAAUGUUUGAAUGAUCAGUACCACUAUGAUGGGGUGCAUCAUUAUUUCCCACACUUGCCUAAUAUCCUCUGAAUUGGUAUGGAAAAUAUUCUCCCACCAGUGUGAAGGAUGAGUUUCUUCCUCCACUUGUUUUAACACUCAUUUUAUUAUUGCUACAGAGUGACAUACUGUUAGUAAAGUGCUCAUUCCCUCUACCUGCAGUCGUUGUAUAUAAUAUCCCAAAUGCUUAUGGUGCAUUAGGUGCCUUAAGGCAUUAAGAUCUGCCCCUGUGUGCACCAGUUCAAUAUAUUGGUACACUGCAUAAUGAGUCCUAAACAUUUCCAAUUGCACAUUAUGUAAUGUAAUCUUGGAUAGAAAAUAUUGAAGACAGAUUGAAACUAGAGUUAUUUAUACUUUCAUGGAACAUGUUGACAAUAAAGCGCUUAAAUAAACUA
Gopherus evgoodei (Goodes thornscrub tortoise) is the source of this 1483-nucleotide long non-coding RNA. RefSeq lists it as uncharacterized. The record is from RefSeq and is a predicted model, not a curated record. The transcript is spliced from 2 exons. NCBI's taxonomy places the organism in Eukaryota, Metazoa, Chordata, Testudines, Testudinidae.